RNAcentral lists this small RNA (28 nucleotides) under Arabidopsis thaliana (thale cress). Its description in RNAcentral is "ATSL114280". Lineage: Eukaryota; Viridiplantae; Streptophyta; Magnoliopsida; Brassicales; Brassicaceae. The record is from RNAcentral.
ACUCUCUCUUUCUCUCUCUCUCUCUUUU